This 1026-nucleotide ribosomal RNA is filed under the name Plexippus paykullii. RNAcentral describes it as "Plexippus paykulli 16S ribosomal RNA". The stretch from base 684 to 979 matches the Rfam family "Archaeal large subunit ribosomal RNA", at positions 2151 to 2715 of the family's 2987-position model. The record is from RNAcentral. Lineage: Eukaryota; Metazoa; Arthropoda; Arachnida; Araneae; Salticidae.
AAUAUUCAAUAUUAUAUACCUUAUAUAAAAAUAUAUAUUAUUAUCCUUCAUUCAAAUAAUUAUAAUUUCUGAAAAGAAGUUCAAACAUUCUUUAAAAGAAAAAUUACUAUCCUUUAGUAUCAGGAAAUAUUUAAUUAAUUAAUUAUAUUAACUUUCCCGAAUUUAUAUGAUCUAUUCUAUAUAAUUUUAUGUGUUACAAUAUAUAAAUAAAAUUUACAAUAGUAAUUAAACGUUAUCCGAAUAUAAUGAUAUCUGGUUUUCUAAAAAGAAUUAAUCUCAAUUCAUAUACUAUAUUACAAUAUAUAAUAUAAGUAUUAACCACUUUUAAUAUAAAUUAAUAUUAAUAGUAUUUACAAUGUUUAAAAACCAAAUAUAAAUACUUAUUUUACUCUUCUAUUAGAAAAUAUUUAUAAUUUAUGAUAUAAUAAUAUUAUAAUUAGACUAUUCAAUAUAGAUACUCAACUCAUCUAAAAUUAAAUGACUGUUUAUCAAAAACAUUUCUACUAGCCUUUAUUAGUAGUAAGGUCUGCUCAAUGAAAAAUUAAAUAGCCGCAACCCGUGCUAAGGUAGCAUAAUCAUUUGUCUUUUAAAUAAGGACUAGAACAAAAGAUUUUACAUUUUAAUCUAUUUUCCAUAUAUAAGAUUUCAAAUUUUUCUUAAAUGUAAAAGGACAUUUAUUAUUAAGAAAGACGAUAAGACCCUAUUGAACUUAACUUCAGUUAAACUGGGGCAGUUAAUCAAUUAAUAUUUUCAAGAAAAUACAAAAUAUAUUAUCCAAUAUAAUUGAAUAAUUCAGUUACCAUAGGGAUAACAGCGUAAUUAUAUUUUAAAGCUCUCAUUUACAAUAUAGAUUGCAACCUCGAUGUUGAAUUAAUAACCUAAAUAAGGCAAGACUUAAUUAAAGGAGGUCUGUUCGACCUUUAAAAAAUUACAUGAUUUGAGUUCAGACCGGUAUAAGCCAGGUCGGUUUCCAUCUUCUAUAGUAGUUUCUUGUAGUACGAAAGGGCCCAAGAAUAUAAUUUAAUU